CUAGAAAAACAGGACUCGAACCUGCACACUAAAACUCAAAACUUUAUGUACUUCAUUAUACUACCCUCUA
Molecule: transfer RNA, 70 nt
Filed under: Wetmorena haetiana
Lineage: Eukaryota; Metazoa; Chordata; Lepidosauria; Squamata; Diploglossidae
Description: Celestus haetianus tRNA-Gln
Source: RNAcentral